UACGUAGGCAGCGAGCGUUGUUCGGAGUUACUGGGCGUAAAGGGUGUGUAGGCGGUUGUUUAAGUUUGGUGUGAAAUCUCCCGGCUCAACUGGGAGGGUGCGCCGAAUACUGAAUGACUAGAGUGCGGGAGAGGAAAGUGGAAUUCCUGGUGUAGCGGUGAAAUGCGUAGAUAUCAGGAGGAACACCGGUGGUGUAGACGGCUUUCUGGACCGUAACUGACGUUGAGACACGAAAGCGUGGGUAGCAAACAGG
Molecule: ribosomal RNA, 253 nt
Filed under: uncultured bacterium
Lineage: Bacteria
Description: partial 16S ribosomal RNA
Rfam family: Bacterial small subunit ribosomal RNA
Source: RNAcentral